AUUGAACGCUGGCGGCAGGCCUAACACAUGCAAGUCGAGCGGAUGAAGGGAGCUUGCUCCUGGAUUCAGCGGCGGACGGGUGAGUAAUGCCUAGGAAUCUGCCUAGUAGUGGGGGAUAACGUCCUUAAACGGGCGCUAAUACCUCAUACGUCCUGAGGUAGAAAGUGGGGGAUCUUCGGACCUCACGCUAUCAGAUUAGCCUAUGUCGGAUUAGCUAGUUGGUGGGGUAAAGGCCUACCAAGGCGACGAUCCGUAACUGGUCUGAGAGGAUGAUCAGUCACACUGGAACUGAGACACGGUCCAGACUCCUACGGGAGGCAGCAGUGGGGAAUCUUGCACAAAGGGCGAAAGCCUGAUCCAGCCAUGCCGCGUGUGUGAAGAAGGUCUUCGGAUUGUAAAGCACUUUAAGUUGGGAGGAAGGGAAGUAAGUUAAUACCUUGCUGUUUUGACGGUACCAACAGAAUAAGCACCGGCUAACUACGUG
Molecule: ribosomal RNA, 484 nt
Filed under: uncultured bacterium
Lineage: Bacteria
Description: partial 16S ribosomal RNA
Rfam family: Bacterial small subunit ribosomal RNA
Source: RNAcentral